AUUAGAUUAAAAACCAAUGCCCUUCGGGGCUCACUGGUGAUUCAUGAUAACUCCUCGAAUCGCAUGGCCUUGUGCCGGCGAUGGUUCAUUCAAAUUUCUUCCCUAUCAACUUUCGAUGUUUGGGUAUUGGCCAAACAUGGUUGCAACGGGUAACGGAGGGUUAGGGCUCGACCCCGGAGAAGGAGCCUGAGAAACGGCUACUACAUCCAAGGAAGGCAGCAGGCGCGCAAAUUACCCAAUCCCGACACGGGGAGGUAGUGACAAUAAAUACUGAUACAAGGCUCUUUUGGGUCUUGUAAUUGGAAUGAGUACAAUUUAAAUCCCUUAACGAGGAACAAUUGGAGGGCAAGUCUGGUGCCAGCAGCCGCGGUAAUUCCAGCUCCAAUAGCGUAUAUUAAAGUUGUUGUGGUUAAAAAGCUCGUAGUUGAACCUUGGGCCUGGCUGGCCGGUCCGCCUGACCGCGUGUACUGGUCCGGCCGGGCCUUUCCCUCUGUGGAACCCAUGCCCUUCACUGGG
Molecule: ribosomal RNA, 516 nt
Filed under: uncultured fungus
Lineage: Eukaryota; Fungi
Description: SSU rRNA
Rfam family: Eukaryotic small subunit ribosomal RNA
Source: RNAcentral